Molecule: long non-coding RNA, 666 nt
Organism: Erinaceus europaeus (western European hedgehog)
Lineage: Eukaryota; Metazoa; Chordata; Mammalia; Eulipotyphla; Erinaceidae
Exons: 2
Source: RefSeq, a predicted model, not a curated record
UUCCCGAGCAUUCUUGCAAGUCCUGUGGCUUGGAUCUCGCAGCUGGGAAGAAACAGUCUCUUGAAUACAAAUGGCAACACUGCAUUUCUCAAGCAGCUUCCACCCAAGGGUAGCAAACACCAUGCAGUUUACAUUUUGUACUGUUGCUUUUUGUGUUUGGAGGAAAAGAUGAGAAGUGUUCUUGCUCCACCAGGUUCCAGAUAACAUCAUGAUGCCAACCUGACUUCCCUAAGCAGACAUGUGCCCUAGAGCCUCACCUCCCCAGAUCCCUGCCCCCCUUGGAAAAAAAAGAGACAGGCUGGGAGUAUGGAUCGACCUGCCAAUGCUCAUGUUCAGCGGAGAAGCAAUUACAGAAGCCAGACCUUCCACCCUCUGCAUCCCACAAUGACCUUGGGUCCAUACUCCCAGAGGGUUAAAGAAUAGAAGAGCUAUCAGGGCCUCCUGAUACGGAUACAGAGUUCUAGUGGUGUAAAUUGUGUGGUAGUGUACCCCUCUUAUCCUAUAAUCUUCUCAAUAUUUCCAUUUUAUAAAUAAAAUUAUAUUAAAAAUGUAAAUUAAUGUUUUUGCCCACACUUACUAAGCUCCCACUCCUUUCAAUCUUCCCAAAUAAUUAUUAAGCCACUAACAGUUGAACUCCAUUAGAUAUAUAACUCUUUGUGAAAACAA